This 253-nucleotide ribosomal RNA is filed under the name uncultured bacterium. RNAcentral's name for it is "partial 16S ribosomal RNA". It matches the Rfam family "Bacterial small subunit ribosomal RNA", at positions 524 to 776 of the family's 1533-position model. The record is from RNAcentral.
UACGUAGGGUGCGAGCGUUGUCCGGAAUUAUUGGGCGUAAAGGGCUCGUAGGCGGUUUGUCGCGUCGGGAGUGAAAACCUUAGGCUUAACUCAGGGCUUGCUUUCGAUACGGGCAGACUAGAGGUAUGCAGGGGAGAACGGAAUUCCUGGUGUAGCGGUGAAAUGCGCAGAUAUCAGGAGGAACACCGGUGGCGAAGGCGGUUCUCUGGGCAUGAUCUGACGCUGAGGAGCGAAAGUGUGGGGAGCGAACAGG